CACCGCCGUAAACGAUGAAUACUAGGUGUCGGGGGGUACCACCCUCGGUGCCGCAGCAAACGCAUUAAGUAUUCCGCCUGGGGAGUACGGUCGCAAGAUUAAAACUCAAAGGAAUUGACGGGGACCCGCACAAGCAGCGGAGCAUGUGGUUUAAUUCGAAGCAACGCGAAGAACCUUACCUAGACUUGACAUCUCCUGAAUUACUCUUAAUCGAGGAAGUCCCUUCGGGGACAGGAAGACAGGUGGUGCAUGGUUGUCGUCAGCUCGUGUCGUGAGAUGUUGGGUUAAGUCCCGCAACGAGCGCAACCCUUAUUGUUAGUUGCUACUAUUAAGUUAAGCACUCUAACGAGACUGCCGCGGUUAACGUGGAGGAAGGUGGGGAUGACGUCAAAUCAUCAUGCCCCUUAUGUCUAGGGCUACACACGUGCUACAAUGGCUGGUACAACGAGCAGCAAACCCGUGAGGGGGAGCAAAACUUGAAAGCCAGUCCCAGUUCGGAUUGUAGGCUGAAACUCGCCUACAUGAAGUUGGAGUUGCUAGUAAUCGCGAAUCAGCAUGUCGCGGUGAAUACGUUCCCGGGGCUUGUACACACCGCCCGUCACACCAUGAGAGCCGGUAACACCCGAAGCCCGUGAGGUAACCGUAAGGAGCCAGCGGUCGAAGGUGGGAUUGGUGAUUGGGGUGAAGUCGUAACAAGGUAGCCGUAGGAGAACCUGCGGCUG
This 722-nucleotide ribosomal RNA is filed under the name Clostridium botulinum C/D str. BKT2873. Its description in RNAcentral is "bacterial SSU rRNA". It matches the Rfam family "Bacterial small subunit ribosomal RNA", at positions 795 to 1520 of the family's 1533-position model. Lineage: Bacteria; Bacillati; Bacillota; Clostridia; Eubacteriales; Clostridiaceae. The record is from RNAcentral.